Molecule: ribosomal RNA, 301 nt
Filed under: uncultured bacterium
Lineage: Bacteria
Description: partial 16S ribosomal RNA
Rfam family: Bacterial small subunit ribosomal RNA
Source: RNAcentral
CAGUCGCCGCGGUAAAACGUAGGGCGCAAGCGUUAUCCGGAAUUAUUGGGCGUAAAGAGCUCGUAGGCGGUUUGUCGCGUCCGCCGUGAAAGUCCGGGGCUCAACCCCGGAUCUGCGGUGGGUACGGGCAGACUAGAGUGAUGUAGGGGAGACUGGAAUUCCUGGUGUAGCGGUGAAAUGCGCAGAUAUCAGGAGGAACACCGAUGGCGAAGGCAGGUCUCUGGGCAUUAACUGACGCUGAGGAGCGAAAGCAUGGGGAGCGAACAGGAUUAGAUACCCCCGUAGUCCCUGUCUCUUAUAA